CCUAGUACGAGAGGACCGGAGUGGACGCAUCACUGGUGUUCGGGUUGUCAUGCCAAUGGCACUGCCCGGUAGCUAAAUGCGGAAGAGAUAAGUGCUGAAAGCAUCUAAGCACGAAACUUGCCCCGAGAUGAGUUUCCCUGAGACUUAGAGUCCCUGAAGGAACGUUGAAGACGACGACGUUGAUAGGCCGGGUGUGUAAGCGCAGCGAUGCGUUGAGCUAACCGGUACUAAUGAACCGUGAGGCUUAACCUUACAACGCCGAAG
This 264-nucleotide ribosomal RNA is filed under the name Salmonella enterica subsp. enterica serovar Typhimurium str. CDC_2009K1288. RNAcentral's name for it is "partial 23S ribosomal RNA". It matches the Rfam family "Bacterial large subunit ribosomal RNA", at positions 2677 to 2925 of the family's 2925-position model. The record is from RNAcentral. Lineage: Bacteria; Pseudomonadati; Pseudomonadota; Gammaproteobacteria; Enterobacterales; Enterobacteriaceae.